Molecule: ribosomal RNA, 253 nt
Filed under: uncultured bacterium
Lineage: Bacteria
Description: partial 16S ribosomal RNA
Rfam family: Bacterial small subunit ribosomal RNA
Source: RNAcentral
UACGUAGGGUGCAAGCGUUGUCCGGAAUUAUUGGGCGUAAAGAGCUCGUAGGCGGUCUGUCGCGUCUGCUGUGAAAACUCGGGGCUUAACCCCGGGCCUGCAGUGGGUACGGGCAGACUAGAGUGCGGUAGGGGAGACUGGAAUUCCUGGUGUAGCGGUGAAAUGCGUAGAUAUCAGGAGGAACACCGGUGGUGUAAACGGCUCUCUGGACCGUAACUGACGCUGAGGCACGAAAGCGUGGGUAGCAAACAGG